Long non-coding RNA from Halichondria panicea, 1487 nucleotides. RefSeq lists it as uncharacterized. The transcript has 3 exons. Lineage: Eukaryota; Metazoa; Porifera; Demospongiae; Suberitida; Halichondriidae. The record is from RefSeq and is a predicted model, not a curated record.
CCUGGCUACGCCCCUGGAGCACAUCCAUUGGAGUGGUCCUACUAGCUAGCACGGUGCACUGGACACAAUGGACCAACACUCUAACUCAGGGGAAAGCUUACUGCAUACUGCUACUGAAUCUCAACAAGCUGAAAUAGCUACAAACUCUCCUGCAAUUCUGUGCACUUUGACCCCUGUGUUUGCUAUCCCCCAGGUACAGGGACACCUCAACGAAUUGUGUAACUCUGAUGUCACUCAGUCCAGUGUCUAGUACCGUUUCAGCUCAGAUUGAGAACAUACUCCAUGACUCUGUGCACGACAUGCUACGUGGGUGAACUGCAACAAGUCACAAACGUGGGAGGAAGGGGAUCUUUUAGCCUCGAUCUCAGGCCGCACUGAAGAUGAGGUUGAUGAGGCCAUACCACUAUCUAUGAUGAGGCCUAGCAUAUGCCAUUACCUACUCAGCGUGAAUGUGAUCUGCUGCCAGCAUGUGCCAGUCCAGUGGCUGUGCUAUAGGAUAAGAAUGGAUGAAUGCAUGAAAGGAUGGAGGUGAGGGGAGAUGCUUUGUAGAGACGGCACCUGUUGUAGGCUACUAAUAAUAAUCACGAGGUUCAUUGUUUUGUUCAUAUUUCCCGAUAGUAUUGCUUGCCCAUGUGUUAGACCUUAUUGGUGGAGGGAGGUCAAUAUUGAGCAACCAUACGCUAGCUGAGUUGGCAUGGGCUCCGAGAUUUCAUUUGUCAUUGUAUUUUACACUACAGUAUGUUGUAAUUAUUUAUCCAUGCAUGUACGACAUGUGGCAGUACUAUUGACCUUUCACUAAUUAUGACCUUUCAAUGACAUUCUACCAAAUUGCUUUGUUUACUGUGAAAGGGGUGGAAUGUGACACCUCUCUGAAAAGGGGGAGGAUCUGAGCAAUGAUUAUGUUUACUGAAAAACAAGGCUGAAAGGGGCGAAAUUUCCUCUUUAUGUGUGGUCCCACUGUGUACACUGUAGCUAAGUGGUUGACUUAUGUUUUCUCUAGUAAGGUUUGCAUUUUGUGAAUGUGGUCUGUCUAGUCAGACCAACAGUGGCUGUAUUAUAGAGGGUGGCCUGCUAACACAGGUCCAAACACAUGCUAUGGAGACUUUGGGGAACAUUAACCUGGCUGUAUUAUAGAGGGUGGCCUGCUAACACAGGUCCAAACACAUGCUAUGGAGACUUUGGGACCCAUUAACCUGGCUGUAUUAUAGAUGGUGGCCUGCUAACACAGGUCCAAACACAUGCUAUGGAGACUUUGGGGCCCAUUAACCUGGCUGUAUUAUAGAGGGUGGCCUGCUAACACAGGUCCAAACACAUGCUAUGGAGACUUUGGGGCCCAUGAGGGUGGUCUGCUAACACAGGUCCAAACACGGCCCAUUAAUCUGGCUGUAUUAUAGAGGGUGACCACAAUAGAUAGACUCCACUCUAUACUGCUUAUUGAACCUCCCACCCCUCACACACACACCCUCACACACACACACACACACACC